RNAcentral lists this ribosomal RNA (460 nucleotides) under uncultured bacterium. RNAcentral describes it as "partial 16S ribosomal RNA". It matches the Rfam family "Bacterial small subunit ribosomal RNA", at positions 338 to 795 of the family's 1533-position model. The record is from RNAcentral.
CCUACGAGCGGCAGCAGUGAGGAAUAUUGGUCAAUGGGCGGAAGCCUGAACCAGCCAAGUCGCGUGAGGGAAUAAGGCCCUACGGGUCGUAAACCUCUUUUGCCGGGGAGCAAAGGCGGGGACGUGUCCCUGCCCGGAGAUUACCCGGAGAAAAAGCAUCGGCGAACCCCGGGCCAGAAGCCGCGGUAAUACGGAGGAUGCGAGCGUUAUCCUGAUUGAUUGGGUUUAAGGGGGGCGUAGGCGGGCUUUUAAGUCAGCGGUAAAAAUUCGGGGCUCAACCCCGUCCGGCCGUUGAAACUGGGGGCCUUGAGUGGGCGAGAAGAAGGCGGAAUGCGUGGUGUAGCGGUGAAAUGCAUAGAUAUCACGCAGAACCCCGAUUGCGAAGGCAGCCUUCCGGCGCCCUACUGACGCUGAGGCACGAAAGUGCGGGGAUCGAACAGGAUUAGAUACCCCAGUAGUC